Non-coding RNA from Pelobates cultripes (western spadefoot toad), 273 nucleotides. The record is from the annotation of a GenBank genome assembly. Lineage: Eukaryota; Metazoa; Chordata; Amphibia; Anura; Pelobatidae.
CUCUAUGAAGAGCAUUAGCAAUAUUUUCUGUCAUCAUGAAUCGUUAAAAUAGAAGGAGGGAGUGCCUUUAGUGGCUUUCUGACAGUCACAAAAGACAUGUUCUAAAUGUAUUUCCAUUUUUCUAAAAUGGCAGUGUUUCACAUUAUAUUGCAGUGGUUAUGGUGCUCAAAAGGGCCUCUUUAAGAAAGUAUGCAAUUACAUUAAAUAUUACUUAAUAGAUUGAUGAGCAAAACAUUUUCCUAAAAAUAAAAAUUAUAAAGUGCGUUAAUUAUG